Molecule: ribosomal RNA, 253 nt
Filed under: uncultured bacterium
Lineage: Bacteria
Description: partial 16S ribosomal RNA
Rfam family: Bacterial small subunit ribosomal RNA
Source: RNAcentral
UACGUAGGGGGCAAGCGUUGUCCGGAAUCAUUGGGCGUAAAGAGCGUGUAGGCGGCCAGAUAAGUCCGCUGUGAAAUCUCGAGGCUCAACUUCGAGCUGUCGGUGGAAACUGUCUGGCUAGAGUCCGGAAGAGGAGAAUGGAAUUCCUGGUGUAGCGGUGAAAUGCGCAGAUAUCAGGAAGAACACCCGUGGCGAGGGCGGUUCUCUGGGACGGUACUGACGCUGAGACGCGAAAGCGUGGGGAGCGAACAGG